Molecule: ribosomal RNA, 373 nt
Filed under: uncultured organism
Description: partial 16S ribosomal RNA
Rfam family: Bacterial small subunit ribosomal RNA
Source: RNAcentral
GUAGGUGGCAAGCGUUGUCCGGAAUUAUUGGGCGUAAAGCGCGCGCAGGCGGUCCUUUAAGUCUGAUGUGAAAGCCCACGGCUCAACCGUGGAGGGUCAUUGGAAACUGGGGGACUUGAGUACAGAAGAGGAAAGCGGAAUUCCAAGUGUAGCGGUGGAAUGCGUAGAGAUUUGGAGGAACACCAGUGGCGAAGGCGGCUUUCUGGUCUGUAACUGACGCUGAGGCGCGAAAGCGUGGGGAGCAAACAGGGAUUAGAUACCCUGGUAGUCCACGCCGUAAACGAUGAGUGCUAAGUGUUAGGGGGUUUCCGCCCCCUUAGUGCUGCAGCUAACGCAUUAAGCACUCCGCCUGGGGAGUACGGCCGCAAGGCUG